Molecule: ribosomal RNA, 916 nt
Filed under: uncultured bacterium
Lineage: Bacteria
Description: bacterial SSU rRNA
Rfam family: Bacterial small subunit ribosomal RNA
Source: RNAcentral
UUGUUGGUAAGGUAAAGGCUUACCAAGGCUUCGAUCAGUAGCUGGUCUGAGAGGACGGCCAGCCACACUGGGACUGAGACACGGCCCAGACUCCUACGGGAGGCAGCAGUGGGGAAUUUUGGACAAUGGGGGAAACCCUGAUCCAGCCAUGCCGCGUGAGUGAAGAAGGCCUUCGGGUUGUAAAGCUCUUUCAGCCGGAACGAAACGGUUACGGAUAAUACCCGUGACUACUGACGGUACCGGAAGAAGAAGCACCGGCUAACUACGUGCCAGCAGCCGCGGUAAUACGUAGGGUGCGAGCGUUAAUCGGAAUUACUGGGCGUAAAGCGUGCGCAGGUGGUUUUGUAAGUCAGAUGUGAAAGCCCCGGGCUCAACCUGGGAACUGCGUUUGAAACUACAGGACUAGAGUGUGGCAGAGGGGGGUGGAAUUCCGCGUGUAGCAGUGAAAUGCGUAGAGAUGUGGAGGAACACCGAUGGCGAAGGCAGCCCCCUGGGUUAACACUGACACUCAGGCACGAAAGCAUGGGGAGCAAACAGGAUUAGAUACCCUGGUAGUCCAUGCCCUAAACGAUGUCAACUAGUUGUCGGGCCUUUACGGGCUUGGUAACGUAGCUAACGCGUGAAGUUGACCGCCUGGGGAGUACGAUCGCAAGAUUAAAACUCAAAUGAAUUGACGGGGACCCGCACAAGCGGUGGAUUAUGUGGAUUAAUUCGAUGCAACGCGAAAAACCUUACCUACCCUUGACAUGUAUCGAAGCCCGCAGAAAAGCGGGGGUGCCCGAAAGGGAACGAUAACACAGGUGCUGCAUGGCUGUCGUCAGCUCGUGUCGUGAGAUGUUGGGUUAAGUCCCGCAACGAGCGCAACCCUUGUCAUUAAUUGCCAUCAUUUAGUUGGGCACUUUAAUGAGACUGCCGG